UAUUCGGUAUUGUUGAAGGUCCUGUGGAUCUUCGUGUUUUAGUUGCUCUCAUUCUUGUUCGCAUACCAUCAGCCUCUCUCAUUCUUGUUGGAGUUUAUUCAGACUACUGGAGAUUUAAUGAAGAUCUAUUGAAGAUUUUGUUCAUCUUUUGCUUCAUUUGUAUUGCUGAUCCUGUGGAUCCUCAUAUAUCAGGUUGUAUUGUUUCAUUUAAAGUUGUAUUGCGUUGAUUAAUCAACUGAUUGUUAUCAGUUGAUUACAUACUUUGUAUUGGUUGAUUUCAGAUCUUACAUUUUGUAAGAUCUUGGGAGGUUGGGAGUUUUUUCGGUUUGGGUUAAAUAAUAAAGUUUUUCGUCACGUUUUGUCGCUUCUCUUGUGUUUUAUGUUGUUCUUUGAGUUUUGUAUUGAAUGUUCAUACCAUUUUUACAUGGUAUCAGAGCCUGUAUAGCUCUUGGUUGAUUGUUCUUCCGCUGGUUUAUCUCUGUUGUUGUUUUUUUCUUGUAGGUUAUCUUAGGGUUUUUUGACUCAAGAAACCCUAGUUGGAGGAUUUUGGGCGUAGUGUCAAAUUAGGGUUUGAGGAACCUAAUCGGAGGUUUUCUGUAUCUCUAUACUUUGGGAUCUGCGUGUGAAGUGUCUUGUUGAAUUAUGUGGUUCAGGUCAAGUUGAGGGGGCUGUAUGUUAUAUUCGAGGGACUGAGAUCAUCUUGAUGAAGAAUUUUGGACUUGG
Molecule: long non-coding RNA, 723 nt
Filed under: Helianthus annuus (common sunflower)
Lineage: Eukaryota; Viridiplantae; Streptophyta; Magnoliopsida; Asterales; Asteraceae
Description: sRNA HanXRQr2_Chr10g0426971
Source: RNAcentral